Molecule: long non-coding RNA, 1076 nt
Filed under: Fragaria vesca (wild strawberry)
Lineage: Eukaryota; Viridiplantae; Streptophyta; Magnoliopsida; Rosales; Rosaceae
Description: long non-coding RNA (FVES_LNC004258)
Source: RNAcentral
CCCCAUCUCCUCCUCUCCCUCCCCGGCCUAGCCCCCGAGCCUCUAACCCGCCGGAAACGCCGGGAAGCAUUUCGCCGGAACUCCCUCCUCCGGCCACCAAUCCAGGCAAGCUUAGUACGGUUUUGUAGCCCUCCAAUCCAGCAGCCUUGCCCUAAAAGGACUCACUCCCUCUUGAGCUAGGUAAGGAGAAAUUUGAGGUGGAAGUUUUAUGAUGUUUUUGAUGUUUUUAGUCGAUUGCGCUAAUUAGGCUUGGAAUUGGUGUUUGUGCUAGUUAGGAAAGUUGUAGAGCAUGAUGAGAGGAUUAUUCUGUCAAAAUUUCAUAGGUUUUGGAGGUCGCUGGAAUUGGCCUCCGGCCGCCGCCGGUUAGGAGAUUUUUAGGGUUUUAAGUGUGGAAUAUUAAGAGGAGUAUAUUGAUGUGAUUUAUGGAAUUUUUGGAUGAGAUUUGGAUAGGUUUGUGAAUUUCCGAAGUUUGGUAUUUUUGGCGGUUAAUUAAUGCAGAAUCCGGCCGUAGGAUUUAAGUCGUAUUUUGGGGAGGUUGUAUUUACGACUGUUGAGUAUGAUAUUUAAGUUCGGAUUGUUCCGAUUUAAGAAUAUCGAAGUUAGGCAAUGAUGAGCGUAUUUAUGGCUCUCGGGUAAUUUUGCCUAUUUUGAUUAAAUAUUGGAUUAUUGGUUGGGAAAUUAAUAUUAUAUUUGGAACAAGACGUGAGGAGGCUCGAGCAGACGAGGCCCCAGACCGACAUCAGGCUUAGGCCUAAUUUGUGAGUGGACUUUUAUUUGAAAUAAUAUGCAUGCUAUGGUUCAUGAUUGAACAUUUCUUUUUGUUGGAGUUUUGACGUCAAUUAAUUUUGACGCUUUUAUUUCUCUUAGAGAGUUACCGAAAAUGGGAUUUUCGGUGAAUAUAAAUAUGUAUUUAUGAGAGAGUAUGUAUAGGAAAUGCUAGCUAGCCAUAUGUGUCUGUCCACCUUAAUGGCGUAGCAUAUAGCCGCAUUAUGGUGUGACGUGAGCGUUGGACGUAAGCGUAGUAGCCCUAUUUGAGUGUUUAAUUCAUAUAGGGGGGUAUGGACACAUAUUUACAC